AAAGGUUUUAUUGCUUCUAGUGACCUUUAUUUGAGAGUAGUCUGACAAGACAGUAGGUAAUGAGAGAGGGGAAAGACAUGCGGAAAGGGUCAUCCUUAUAUGGGUUGUGCUUUACCACUGCGCCACCACAGCAUGCCUAAAUAUCCCAUUUUUAUUUAUUGGACGGAUAUCAAUAAGUUAAAAAUGACUAGAAUAUGUGCAAAUUCUCGUCUUGACAGCGUCAACCUCCGGAUGAAGAAGGCCUAUACCAAUGUAUAAGUUGAUGUUAGAGUAGAAAUAUUGUGAAUCCCUAAAAAAGUUAUUAAAGUUUGGUGAUAUUGAUAUUAGUGCAGAUAUAUUAUGCAUCCCUAUAAAACAUGACUAAAAUUUUCCAAAGCCAAUAAGAGUAUUAAUAUAUUGUGUGUCCCGAUAAAACAACUACAUCUGGCCAAAACUGAUGUUAGUACCGAUAUAUUGUGAAUCCCUAUAAAAAAUUAUGUAAAAUAGGUCAAUAUUGAGGCCAAUUCAGCCACCAAGUGGUAGGCCAUGUAAACUGGCGGAGCAGGGUUAGCGGAUGCUGAGCGCAUUGUGCAAAGAGGCUGACAACUUUCUGCAGAGUAAAUCACUACAAACCUUCAAACUUCAUGUGGGCCUCAUGAACAGGCCCAUCCAAGCCAUGCAUCCAUGGCUUGGAUGAUGCAUGCAUCCAAGCCAUGCAUCAUCAAGUGAUGUAAAGCAUCGGAUGCAGUGGUGUAAAGCACGCGGCCACUGAACUCUAGAGCAGGGGAAGCACGUCCUCUGGAGUGACAAAUUGCGCUUCUCCAUCUGGCAAUCCGAUAGAUGAGUCUAGGUUUGGCGGUUGCCAGAACAAUGGUACUUUUCUGACUGUAUUGUGCCAAAUGUAAAGUUUGGUGGAGGGGGGACUAUGGUGUGAAGUUGUUUUUCAGGAAGUCCAUAAAGACAUGGAGGGCAGAGUCUGGUGUGGGUGAACUUGGCUGGCCUGAACAGAGUCCUGACUUCAACCCAAUAGAACAACUUUGCGAAAUGUUUCUUUUCUUAGGUUUUUCUAACACUCAGCUCUACACACAUUUCUAAAGAUUCAGUUUUGAUUAAGUUCAGAAAGAUAUUUAAUUUUCAUGCUGUCAGGACAUACAAUACAAUCCAGUCUUUCAUACUUUAUAAUUACAAAAUAUCCUCCCCCCACAGCUCAGGAGUUGGCAUAAAGGCCUGUUAAAACACAUCCAGCUGGACAGAUACUUGAAUGGAAGACACUUGACAUAUACAAUCCUACCAAAUAUUGCUUCCAAGCAGUCCUUUGAUGACAAUAUUGAUUUCCAUACAAUUACACUGCGAUAUCAACUAUGAUUCAAUAUGUUAUGCAGCUCGUUGUCUGACUGCAUUGUGCCACGGAUCAAUUUGGCUGUUAGAUCUAGAGGAAAAUAAAACACACAAUAUUAUCAAAAGUAUUCGCUCAGCUCCCUGUACACACCUAGAUCACGUAAGCAUUUAAAAUACAGGAAGUCAAUGAGGUGAGUGAACGCCAAUUUGGAUGUGAUAAGUAAUAUUUUGCCUCAUCACAUAUUUCAACAUGGUCUUCGUAAAUCUGUUGAAAAACCUUGCAGGAAAGUGCCGCAAAUGCAUAAUGUAGACGCUCUGUACAGUUCUGCAAGCUGUGCACACCAAAUUAGGCCAUCAUUUUUCAAGGUUAGCAAUGCAAAACGAGGACGCAUGACGUGGUUGGGCUGCCGUUGACUUAUAAUCACAGUCCGAAGACCCACACCAGGUAACAGGAGUUCAUCUCUGUUAUAAGUCAAGUGCAAUGAACUUGUACAUCUCUGAUUUGUGAACUGGAUUUUGUUUUGUGACAUUACAUUAAUAAGGUUUUUGAAAUGGCUCAUUUUCUAGACAGCAAAAAUAUUGUCAUUGCCAAAAAUUUCAGGGUAGAUUUUUUUAAGUGCUUGGGUUGUUUUCAGAAGCAGUAAAGACAAAAUUGGAAGUACAAAACAUGUAAAUUAUAAAUUUUGCAUAACAUGUCCCCUUUAAUAAGCAGUUAUAAAACAGAAGCCUUUUACAGUGUGUAAACUUUUUAACUGAAGAAAAUUAACUAAAGUUUAAAAAGUGAAUAUAACAAAAAAGUUUACAUUAAAAUGUACAAAAGCCAUUUGCUGUAAGUGCAAAGUUCACAUAAGUGACACAUGCCCCACUGCAUGUGUGAUUUGAAAUGGUUUGGGUUUACAGCUCAGGUUUGCAGAACCACAAAAAAUCUGCACCUACCAUUCCUAUGUAUGCUUUUUCUCAAAAUGAUCCAACAAACUGAACUGCUCCAGCCUCCCUUCCAAUCAACCAUUUAAAUAGCUUAAUGGUGUGGCCAACAACUCCAUGAGGGUCAGAGAAUCAGCUUUUCCCAACCUCCACUGAGCUGGUUGGCAUUGUCUAGGGGCAUUCCGGACCAAUCCAAACAAACAGCACACACGAACAGUGAGGAAAAGCUUAAACUAACAUUUGGUUCUCAUUUAAAACAUGGGGUUAUACACGGGAGCUGUGCCCUAAGAAGAAUUUGGAUCAUAUGAGGCAAAAGCACAUAUGCUUGCAAGACUUGGCCUUUUUUUUCUCAACAGGAAGACUGUAUCAUUUUCUCAGCUUGUGGAAAACUAGAGGAAAGGUUACACUUUGAUUCUAGCUAAAUAGAAGGGAUCAAACUUUUUAAAUUAGUAAAAUUCAGGUAAGCUAAAUCUCUCUACCAGCUUCGCAGACCUACAAGCAUAUUUGCCCAUUUUUAUUUGGAGAAUUGAAAAACAUCUGUCUGGCACUUAAAAUUGACUGAGCCAUUCUAACACAACCCAACCAUUCUAUCUUUGGCAGGAUGUUUUGGUGCUUCUGUCUUGCCCGUAGGUGAACCUCUACACCAGUUUUAGGUGUUCCGCAGCCGCUAACACGUUUUCUUGAGGAUUCCUCUCCAGCAACCAAACGCCUAACACAAUGUUUCCCAACCCUGGUCCUCAAGGCACACUGCUCUGCAUGAUUUAGAUGUUUCCUUCCUUCAGCCCAGGUCAUGUUUUCUGACUGGCCAGAAAUUCAUCCUGAAAAAUCCAGCUCUACCACACAAAACCCAGAUGGAGAACUGAAUGGUGAUGACAACUGAUCAGAAUAGUGUAGGAAGACAAUGGCUAGGCUUUUAGGCUUGAGGAGUGCAUGAAUAAGAGAUGUGCUGUUGAUGGAGUCUCAUACUGGGGCAAAACAGUAGUCUUAAGUAUUAGAGAAAAGUGAUGUUUUGAAGCUUAUCUCUUUUUAGUCAGGGCAGAUUCAGUUUGUACUCUCCAUAGUUUGUGGAGAUUUUAAGGUGAAAAAUCAUUGGAUUGGGGAACAUGAAACCUUCAGUUUUUUUGUAAGAGCUUCAGUGAUGAAAUGUUAUUUCAAAUGAACACCAAUAAAAAAGUUUUUUUAAACACUAUUUUGCCAAUGUUCAAUGCCUAAAAGGUAUAGAAAGUUCACUCCCUUGGAUGUUUUAACCCUUUUUAUUGCUUUUACAAAUCCGUCAUGAACAACAAAGCUUUUUGGGGGGGGAAAAAAAAAAAAAAAAA
Molecule: long non-coding RNA, 3560 nt
Organism: Poecilia latipinna (sailfin molly)
Lineage: Eukaryota; Metazoa; Chordata; Actinopteri; Cyprinodontiformes; Poeciliidae
Exons: 2
Source: RefSeq, a predicted model, not a curated record